Centropristis striata (black sea bass) is the source of this 83-nucleotide non-coding RNA. The record is from the annotation of a RefSeq genome assembly. Lineage: Eukaryota; Metazoa; Chordata; Actinopteri; Perciformes; Serranidae.
GUCAGGAUGGCUGAGUGGUCCAAGGCGCUGCAUUCAGGUCGCAGACUCCACUGGAGGCAUGGGUUCGAACCCCACUUCUGACA